This 466-nucleotide ribosomal RNA is filed under the name uncultured bacterium. RNAcentral describes it as "partial 16S ribosomal RNA". It matches the Rfam family "Bacterial small subunit ribosomal RNA", at positions 28 to 507 of the family's 1533-position model. The record is from RNAcentral.
GACGAACGCUGGCGGCGUGCUUAACACAUGCAAGUCGAACGGAAAGGCCCUGCUUGCAGGGUACUCGAGUGGCGAACGGGUGAGUAACACGUGGGUGAUCUGCCCUGCACUUCGGGAUAAGCCUGGGAAACUGGGUCUAAUACCGGAUAGGAGCCAUUUUUAGUGUGAUGGUUGGAAAGUUUUUUUCGGUGUAGGAUGAGCUCGCGGCCUAUCAGCUUGUUGGUGGGGUAAUGGCCUACCAAGGCGGCGACGGGUAGCCGGCCUGAGAGGGUGGACGGCCACAUUGGGACUGAGAUACGGCCCAGACUCCUACGGGAGGCAGCAGUGGGGAAUAUUGCACAAUGGGCGCAAGCCUGAUGCAGCGACGCCGCGUGGGGGAUGACGGCCUUCGGGUUGGAAACUCCGUUCGCUAGGGACGAAGCUUUUUGUGACGGUACCUAGAGAAGAAGCACCGGCUAACUACGUG